This 893-nucleotide ribosomal RNA is filed under the name uncultured organism. RNAcentral's name for it is "SSU rRNA". It matches the Rfam family "Bacterial small subunit ribosomal RNA", at positions 505 to 1398 of the family's 1533-position model. The record is from RNAcentral.
GUGCCAGCAGCCGCGGUAAUACGUAGGGUGCGAGCGUUGUCCGGAAUUACUGGGCGUAAAGAGCUCGUAGGUGGUUUGUCGCGUUGUUCGUGAAAUCUCACGGCUUAACUGUGAGCGUGCGGGCGAUACGGGCAGACUGGAGUWCUGCAGGGGAGACUGGAAUUCCUGGUGUAGCGGUGGAAUGCGCAGAUAUCAGGAGGAACACCGGUGGCGAAGGCGGGUCUCUGGGCAGUAACUGACGCUGAGGAGCGAAAGCUUGGGGAGCGAACAGGAUUAGAUACCCUGGUAGUCCACGCCGUAAACGGUGGGUACUAGGUGUGGGUUUCCUUCCUUGGGAUCCGUGCCGUAGCUAACGCAUUAAGUACCCCGCCUGGGGAGUACGGCCGCAAGGUAAAAACUCAAARGAAUUGACGGGGGCCCGCACAAGCGGCGGAGCAUGUGAUUAAUUCGAUGCAACGCGAAGAACCUUACCUGGUUUGACAUGCACAGGACGCCGGCAGAGAUGUCGUUCCCUUGUGGCCUGUGUGCAGGUGGUGCAUGGCUGUCGUCAGCUCGUGUCGUGAGAUGUUGGGUUAAGUCCCGCAACGAGCGCAACCCUUGUCUCAUGUUGCCAGCGGGUAAUGCCGGGGACUCGUGAGAGACUGCCGGGGUCAACUCGGAGGAAGGUGGGGAUGACGUCAAGUCAUCAUGCCCCUUAUGUCCAGGGCUUCACACAUGCUACAAUGGCCGGUACAAAGGGCUGCGAUGCCGCGAGGUUAAGCGAAUCCUUUUAAAGCCGGUCUCAGUUCGGAUCGGGGUCUGCAACUCGACCCCGUGAAGUCGGAGUCGCUAGUAAUCGCAGAUCAGCAACGCUGCGGUGAAUACGUUCCCGGGCCUUGUACACACCGCCCGUC